UGGGGAAUCUUGGACAAUGGGGGAAACCCUGAUCCAGCCAUCCCGCGUGUGCGAUGAAGGCCUUCGGGUUGUAAAGCACUUUUGGCAGGAAAGAAACGUCGCGGGUUAAUACCCCGCGAAACUGACGGUACCUGCAGAAUAAGCACCGGCUAACUACGUGCCAGCAGCCGCGGUAAUACGUAGGGUGCAAGCGUUAAUCGGAAUUACUGGGCGUAAAGCGUGCGCAGGCGGUUCGGAAAGAAAGAUGUGAAAUCCCAGAGCUUAACUUUGGAACUGCAUUUUUAACUACCGGGCUAGAGUGUGUCAGAGGGAGGUGGAAUUCCGCGUGUAGCAGUGAAAUGCGUAGAUAUGCGGAGGAACACCGAUGGCGAAGGCAGCCUCCUGGGAUAACACUGACGCUCAUGCACGAAAGCGUGGGGAGCAAACAGGAUUAGAUACCCUGGUAGUCCACGCCCUAAACGAUGUCAACUAGCUGUUGGGGCCUUCGGGCCUUGGUAGCGCAGCUAACGCGUGAAGUUGACCGCCUGGGGAGUACGGUCGCAAGAUUAAAACUUAAAGGAAUUGAC
RNAcentral lists this ribosomal RNA (566 nucleotides) under uncultured bacterium. Its description in RNAcentral is "partial 16S ribosomal RNA". It matches the Rfam family "Bacterial small subunit ribosomal RNA", at positions 355 to 914 of the family's 1533-position model. The record is from RNAcentral.